CAUGAUCUAGCUUUUAAAAAAGGUACGGCGUAAGCUGUCGCUAUGGGAUGGCCCGCGGUGCAUUAGUCUAGUUGGUAAGGUAAAGGACUUACCAAGGCGAUGAUGCAUAGCCGAGUUGAGAGACUGAUCGGCCACAUUGGGACUGAGACACGGCCCAAACUCCUACGGGAGGCAGCAGUAGGGAAUCUUCCACAAUGGACGCAAGUCUGAUGGAGCAACGCCGCGUGAGUGAAGAAGGUUUUCGGAUCGUAAAGCUCUGUUGUUGGUGAAGAAGGAUAGAGGUAGUAACUGGCCUUUAUUUGACGGUAAUCAACCAGAAAGUCACGGGCUAACUACGUGCCAGCAGCCGCGGUAAAU
RNAcentral lists this ribosomal RNA (357 nucleotides) under uncultured Lactobacillus sp. RNAcentral describes it as "bacterial SSU rRNA". It matches the Rfam family "Bacterial small subunit ribosomal RNA", at positions 172 to 525 of the family's 1533-position model. Lineage: Bacteria; Bacillati; Bacillota; Bacilli; Lactobacillales; Lactobacillaceae. The record is from RNAcentral.